Triticum aestivum (bread wheat) is the source of this 136-nucleotide non-coding RNA. Lineage: Eukaryota; Viridiplantae; Streptophyta; Magnoliopsida; Poales; Poaceae. The record is from Rfam.
CACGUACUUCUGCCAAUUCCAAAAUUCUUGUCUUAGAUUUGUCUAGAUACGGAUGUAUCAAGUCACAUUUUAGUAUUAGAUACAUCCGUAUCUAGACAAAUCUAAGACAAGAAAUUUGGGACAGAGGGAGUAGUUG